CAAUAGCGUAUAUUAAAGUUGUUGCAGUUAAAAAGCUCGUAGUUGGAUUUCUGGUGGGAGCGAUCGGUCUGGCGCUUAGCGCGAGUACUUGCAUCGUCUCCGGCCAUCCUUGGGGAGAGUCUGUCUGGCAUUAGGUUGUCGGGCAGAGGAUCCUCAUCGUUUACUGUGAAAAAAUUAGAGUGUUCAAAGCAGGCUUAUGCCGUUGAAUAUAUUAGCAUGGAAUAAUAAGAUAGGACUUUGGUACUAUUUUGUUGGUUUGCGCACCAAAGUAAUGAUUAAUAGGGACAGUUGGGGGUAUUCGUAUUCCGUUGACAGAGGUGAAAUUCUUGGAUUUACGGAAGACGAACUACUGCGAAAGCAUUUGCCAAGGAUGUUUUCAUUAA
Molecule: ribosomal RNA, 383 nt
Filed under: uncultured eukaryote
Lineage: Eukaryota
Description: partial 18S ribosomal RNA
Rfam family: Eukaryotic small subunit ribosomal RNA
Source: RNAcentral